Canis lupus familiaris (dog) is the source of this 105-nucleotide non-coding RNA. The record is from Rfam. NCBI's taxonomy places the organism in Eukaryota, Metazoa, Chordata, Mammalia, Carnivora, Canidae.
GCAUUUGCUUUGGCAGUACAAAUGUUAUAAUUGGAAUGAUACAGAGAUUAGCAUGGCUCUUGUGCAAGGAUGACAUAUAAUGUACAUCAUAAGUAUACCAUAACA